UACAGAGGCCUCAAGCGUUACCCGGAAUCACUGGGCGUAAAGGGUGUGUAGGCGGCGAUGUUAGUCUUCCGUAAAAGACUCGGGGCUUAACCCAGAGGAUGCGGAGGAAACGGCAUUGCUUCGAGGGCGCGAGAGGUGAAUGGAACUCAUGGUGUAGGGGUGAAAUCCGUUGAUAUCAUGGGGAACACCAAAUGCGAAGGCAAUUCACUGGCGCGUUCCUGACGCUGAGACACGAAAGCGUGGGUAGCGAAAAGG
RNAcentral lists this ribosomal RNA (255 nucleotides) under uncultured bacterium. RNAcentral's name for it is "partial 16S ribosomal RNA". It matches the Rfam family "Bacterial small subunit ribosomal RNA", at positions 524 to 776 of the family's 1533-position model. The record is from RNAcentral.